CUUUUAUAUUGGCAAGAAAAUUACACCGUUUUUCUCUUUUGCUUUUUAUCUCUGAAUAGAAGACUAUAUUCCUUUGUUGCAAUAUAUUUCCUUAAGACUGUAGAACUCCAGCAUCCAUUAUGACAAAAUAAGGAGUCAGUUCUACUCGUGUUCAGCUUUGUAUUCCUGGCAAGUUGAAGACAUCCAGUCCAUGGGCGUAUCAUGUAGACAUCACUGCUUUCUUCAGUUUUUCUAUCUCAAUCUCCAGGUUACUUCGCAUCAGCUUCUCCUCUUCCAAAUCCUUCCUUAGUUUUUCCAGUUCUCUCCCGUGUUCUUUUCUCAGUGCAUCUA
RNAcentral lists this long non-coding RNA (330 nucleotides) under Gallus gallus (chicken). The record is from RNAcentral. Lineage: Eukaryota; Metazoa; Chordata; Aves; Galliformes; Phasianidae.